AACGAACGCUGGCGGCAUGCCUAACACAUGCAAGUCGAACGAGACCUUCGGGUCUAGUGGCGCACGGGUGCGUAACGCGUGGGAACCUGCCCUUAGGUUCGGAAUAACUCCCCGAAAGGGGUGCUAAUACCGGAUAAUGUCUUCGGACCAAAGAUUUAUCGCCUUUGGAUGGGCCCGCGUUGGAUUAGCUAGUUGGUAGGGUAAAAGCCUACCAAGGCGACGAUCCAUAGCUGGGCUGAGAGGAUGAUCAGCCACACUGGGACUGAGACACGGCCCAGACUCCUACGGGAGGCAGCAGUGGGGAAUAUUGGACAAUGGGCGAAAGCCUGAUCCAGCAAUGCCGGGUGAGUGAUGAAGGCCUUAGGGUUGUAAAGCUCUUUUACCCGGGAUGAUAAUGACAGUACCGGGAGAAUAAGCUCCGGCUAACUCCGUG
This 433-nucleotide ribosomal RNA is filed under the name uncultured bacterium. Its description in RNAcentral is "partial 16S ribosomal RNA". It matches the Rfam family "Bacterial small subunit ribosomal RNA", at positions 29 to 507 of the family's 1533-position model. The record is from RNAcentral.